This 460-nucleotide ribosomal RNA is filed under the name uncultured bacterium. RNAcentral's name for it is "partial 16S ribosomal RNA". It matches the Rfam family "Bacterial small subunit ribosomal RNA", at positions 338 to 795 of the family's 1533-position model. The record is from RNAcentral.
CCUACGAGUGGCAGCAGUGAGGAAUAUUGGUCAAUGGACGAGAGUCUGAACCAGCCAAGUCGCGUGAAGGAUGACUGCCCUAUGGGUUGUAAACUUCUUUUAUAUGGGAAUAAAAUGUUCCACGUGUGGGAUUUUGUAUGUACCAUAUGAAUAAGGAUCGGCUAACUCCGUGCCAGCAGCCGCGGUAAUACGGAGGAUCCGAGCGUUAUCCGGAUUUAUUGGGUUUAAAGGGUGCGUAGGUGGAUUGUUAAGUCAGGUGUGAAAGUUCGGGGCUCAACCGUAAAAUUGCAGUUGAAACGGGCAGUCUUGAGUACAGUAGAGGUGGGCGGAAUGCGUGGUGUAGCGGUGAAAUGCGUAGAUAUCACGAAGAACUCCGAUUGCGAAGGCAGCUCACUGGACUGCAACUGACACUGAGGCUCGAAAGUGUGGGUAGCAAACAGGAUUAGAUACCCUUGUAGUC